RNAcentral lists this ribosomal RNA (460 nucleotides) under uncultured bacterium. Its description in RNAcentral is "partial 16S ribosomal RNA". It matches the Rfam family "Bacterial small subunit ribosomal RNA", at positions 338 to 795 of the family's 1533-position model. The record is from RNAcentral.
CCUACGGGUGGCAGCAGUGAGGAAUAUUCGUCAAUGGGCGCGAGCCUGAACCAGCCAAGUAGCGUGAACGAUGACUGCCCUACGGGUUGUAAACUUCUUUUAUAAAGGAAUACAGUGAGGCACGUGUGCCAUUUUGUAUGUACUUUAUGAAUAAGGAUCGGCUAACUCCGGGCCAGCAGACGCGGUAAUACGGAGGAUCCGACCGUUCUCCGGAUUUAUUGGGUUUAACGGGAGCGUAGAGUGGUUGUUAAGUCAGUUGUGAAAGUUUGCGGCUCAAACGUAAAAUUGCAAUGGAUACUGGCAGCCUAGAGUACAGUAGAGGUAGGCGGAAUUCGUGGUGUAGCGGUGAAAUGCUUAGAUAUCACGAAGAACUCCGAUUGCGAAGGCAGCUUACUAAACUGCCACUGACAUUGAUGCUCGAAAGUGUGGGGAUCAAACAGGAUUGGAUACCCUUGUAGUC